ACUUAAUUCAACAUCGAGGUCGCAAACCUAAUUAUUAAUAAGAACUUGUCAAUUAAAUAACGCUGUUAACCCUAGAGUAACUUUAAAACAAAAAAAUUAUUAUUUUAUACAAACAAAUAACUUUUUGCAAAAAUUCUUUUUUCACCUAUUACCCCAAUAAAAAAAUUCUUUACUUAAAAAGCUUCUAGGGUCUUCUCGUCCCAAAGAUAAAUAAAAGCAUUUUUACUUUUAAUUUAAAUUCAAAUUUAUUAAAUAAAACACUCCUAUCAGUAUCUACCCUUCAUCCCAGUCUACAAUUAAUAAA
This 304-nucleotide ribosomal RNA is filed under the name Corralia depressa. RNAcentral's name for it is "partial large subunit ribosomal RNA". Lineage: Eukaryota; Metazoa; Arthropoda; Arachnida; Opiliones; Gonyleptidae. The record is from RNAcentral.